AUGGAGGAUGCCACAAUAAUUUCCGGCCCUAAUUUUUCCAGUUCCUGCUUCAGUUCCGCAGCGAAGUUGUUCCUUACAUCUGAUGCCUUCCCAUGUGCGACCAAGUUAUCCUUCGAUGGUAUUCCUGUGAUGCCGUCAGCAUUCCCUCGAGGAGCCGCCCCAAGGCUUAAACACCUUGAGUUUUCCUUCCGAGCUAAGUGGAUCACCCAUGACGACGUGGAUUUGGGCAUGGGGCACCUCCCUUCCCUCCAGACCGUCAGGGUCCAGCUUCACACUUUUAAAUCCAGCAUUUUGGAGGUGAAGAAAACACAGGCUGCGCUGAAGGCUGCAGCGAGGGACCAUCCCAACCGCCCGGACAUUAGUAUCCGAAAUGGAAUUGUUUUGUUUCAAAUCAAGGGCUCGAGUCAUCAAAAUCCUGCACACAGUUAG
Molecule: ribosomal RNA, 429 nt
Filed under: Triticum aestivum (bread wheat)
Lineage: Eukaryota; Viridiplantae; Streptophyta; Magnoliopsida; Poales; Poaceae
Description: partial small subunit ribosomal RNA
Source: RNAcentral